RNAcentral lists this RNase P RNA (343 nucleotides) under Youngiibacter fragilis 232.1. RNAcentral's name for it is "Clostridium sp. 232.1 Bacterial RNase P class A". It matches the Rfam family "Bacterial RNase P class A". From Rfam's summary of the family: Ribonuclease P (RNase P) is a ubiquitous endoribonuclease, found in archaea, bacteria and eukarya as well as chloroplasts and mitochondria. The record is from Rfam by way of RNAcentral. Lineage: Bacteria; Bacillati; Bacillota; Clostridia; Eubacteriales; Clostridiaceae.
CGAGUAAGCCAGACAGUCGCUGCUGACAUUUGUCAGGAGAGGAAAGUCCGAGCUCCAUAGGGCAGGGUGCUGGGUAACUCCCAGUGAGGGUGACCUUAAGGAAAGUGCAACAGAGAGAUACCGCCACGCGAAAGCGGGGCAAGGGUGGAAAGGCGAGGUAAGAGCUCACCAGCACAUUGGCGACUUUGUGGCUAUGUAAACCCCACCUGGAGCAAGGCCGAAUAGAGGGACUUUUGGAGCUGCCCGUUCCGUCCCCGGGUGCGCCGCUUGAGCCGUAUAGAAAUAUACGGCCUAGAUAGAUGACUGUUUAAUACAGAACUCGGCUUACAGACUUACUCGUACC